GCAGGACUAAACCCCCGUACCUUUUGCAUCAUGAAUUAGCAAGUAUAAACAGGCAAGGGGGACCACAGUCUGCCACCCCGAAACUGAGUGAGCUACUCCAGGACCGCCUAUUACAGGGCAAACCCGUCUCUGUGGCAAAAGAGUGGGAAGAUCCUCGAGUAGAAGUGAUAAACUUACCGAACCCAGUGAUAGCUGGUUGUCUGGAAAAUGGAUAUAAGUUCAGCCCCACCUCUUCUUUACAAGAAGGGGGAGUUACUCAAAGGGGGUACAGCCCCUUUGAGAGAAGAAACAACUUUUUAAGCAGGAUAAGGAUUAAAAUAUUUAAGGGAUAGUAACCUAGUGGGCCUAAAAGCAGCCACCUAUAUAGAAAGCGUCAAAGCUCAAACACGAUAUACCAAUAAACAGCCCAAAGCCCCAAAUAACACCAGACCUCUCCACUGCAAGUGGAGGAGAAGAUGCUAGUAUGAGUAAUAAGAAACGAGUUUCUCCCGGCACACGCUUAAGCCAGCACGGACAACCCACCGAAAAUUAACGGACCCAAAGAAAGAGGGCAAUGAAAGACAACUAGAAGAACACUCCCCGUUGACCCCACACUGGUGUGCCCCAAGGAAAGACAAAAGGGAAGAGAAGGAACUCGGCAAAAAAGCCUCGCCUGUUUACCAAAAACAUCGCCUCUUGCUAGAAUAAGAGGUCUGACCUGCCCAGUGACACUAUGUUCAACGGCCGCGGUAUUUUGACCGUGCUAAGGUAGCGCAAUCACUUGUCUUUUAAAUAAGGACCUGUAUGAAAGGUAUGACGAGGGCUUGACUGUCUCCUCUCCCCAGUCAAUGAAAUUGAUCUCCCCGUGCAGAAGCGGGGAUCUUAACAUAAGACGAGAAGACCCUGUGGAGCUUGAGACCCAGGUAUGGCACAUGUUAAAAAACUUUACUCAAAGGACAAACUAAGUGAAACCCACACCUAUGUCUUCGGUUGGGGUGACCAUGGGGUAGACCUAACCCCCAUGAAGACAGGGAGCACUCCUAAAAGCCAGAGCCCCACCUCUAGCUAACGAAACAUUCGACUUGAAAUGAUCCGGGAAACCGAUCAACGAACCAAGUUACCCCAGGGAUAACAGCGCUAUCCCCUUCAAGAGCCCAUAUCGCCAAGGGGGUUUACGACCUCGAUGUUGGAUCAGGACAUCCUAAUGGUGCAG
RNAcentral lists this ribosomal RNA (1192 nucleotides) under Psettina tosana. RNAcentral's name for it is "partial 16S ribosomal RNA". It matches the Rfam family "Bacterial large subunit ribosomal RNA", at positions 585 to 2558 of the family's 2925-position model. Lineage: Eukaryota; Metazoa; Chordata; Actinopteri; Pleuronectiformes; Bothidae. The record is from RNAcentral.